UACGUAGGGUGCGAGCGUUGUCCGGAAUUACUGGGCGUAAAGAGCUCGUAGGUGGUUUGUCGCGUUGUUCGUGAAAACUCACAGCUCAACUGUGGGCGUGCGGGCGAUACGGGCAGACUGGAGUACUGCAGGGGAGACUGGAAUUCCUGGUGUAGCGGUGGAUUGCGCAGAUAUCAGGAGGAACACCGGUGGCGAAGGCGGGUCUCUGGGCAGUAACUGACGCUGAGGAGCGAAAGCGUGGGGAGCGAACAGG
This 253-nucleotide ribosomal RNA is filed under the name uncultured bacterium. RNAcentral describes it as "partial 16S ribosomal RNA". It matches the Rfam family "Bacterial small subunit ribosomal RNA", at positions 524 to 776 of the family's 1533-position model. The record is from RNAcentral.